ACAGAAUCAGACUCGACCAGUAUUGGAUAAAUACCAGGAUAAAUUAAUCAAGAUUGAUGCCAGCAGGAACGCAGAGGAUGUUACUGCAGAUAUCAUGGCAAAAAUAUAAUUCAGAAAAAUUCGAGAAAGUUUUUCAGCUUUUGUUGAUCAUUUUUCUGUAAAGAUGGACCGGAAAUGUUGAUAUAUUUGUAUUGUGUUUAUGUAAUUGAACGAACACACUUUUUAUUUUUUUUCUCGUGUAUUUACUUAAUAAAUCCAAAGAUUUUUUUA
Eurytemora carolleeae is the source of this 270-nucleotide long non-coding RNA. RefSeq lists it as uncharacterized. The record is from RefSeq and is a predicted model, not a curated record. The transcript has 2 exons. NCBI's taxonomy places the organism in Eukaryota, Metazoa, Arthropoda, Copepoda, Calanoida, Temoridae.